Molecule: non-coding RNA, 205 nt
Organism: Pelobates cultripes (western spadefoot toad)
Lineage: Eukaryota; Metazoa; Chordata; Amphibia; Anura; Pelobatidae
Source: the annotation of a GenBank genome assembly
AAAAAAAAAAAAAAAAUCCCCACUCCUCAAGUCUUACCUCCCUGGUGGUCCACAAAUCCUCUUCUGGAGGUCUCUCACUGCCCCAGACAUGCUUCCUGUAACUCUGCUCAGGGCAGCUCUGCACAGCUCACUCUGCACUCUGAAUGAUGAUGCUACAUAGUUACAUAGCUGAAAAGAGACUUGCGUCCAUCAAGUUCAGCCUUCC